GACGAACGCUGGCGGCGCGCUUAACACAUGCGAGUCGAACGGAAAGGCCUGCUUUCCCUUGUGGAUUGCGGGUACUCGAGUGGCGAACGGGUGAGUAACACGUGAGUGAUCUGCCCCCAACUUGGGUAUAAGCCUGGGAAACUGGGUCUAAUUCCCGAUAGGACUGCAGGGUGGUGCCUGUGGUGGAAAACGAUUUUCUAGUGGUUGGGGAUGAGCUCGCGGCCUAUCAGCUUGUUGGUGGGGUAAUGGCCUACCAAGGCGGCGACGGGUAGCCGGCCUGAGAGGGUGGACGGCCACAUUGGGACUGGGAUACGGCCCAGACUCCUACGGGAGGCAGCAGUGGGGAAUAUUGCACAAUGGGCGGAAGCCUGAUGCAGCGACGCCGCGUGGGGGAUGACGGCCUUCGGGUUGUAAACUCCUUUCGACCGCGAGGAAGCCACCUGGUUGGAAGGGUGGUGACGGUAGUGGUAGAAGAAGCACCGGCUAACUACGUG
Molecule: ribosomal RNA, 494 nt
Filed under: uncultured bacterium
Lineage: Bacteria
Description: partial 16S ribosomal RNA
Rfam family: Bacterial small subunit ribosomal RNA
Source: RNAcentral